UACAGAGGUCUCAAGCGUUGUGAGGCCUCACGGGGCGUAAAGGGUGAGUCGGCGGCACCGUAAGUCAGAUGUGAAAGCCCGGGGCUCAACCCCGGAAUUGCAUCCGAUACUGCGGUGCUCGAGUGCUGGAGAGGAGUCUAGAAUUCACGGUGUAGCAGUGAAAUGCGUAGAUAUCGUGAGGAAUACCAAAGGCGUAGGCAGGACUCUGGACAGCAACUGACGCUGAGCCACGAAGGCCAGGGGAGCGAACGGG
This 253-nucleotide ribosomal RNA is filed under the name uncultured bacterium. Its description in RNAcentral is "partial 16S ribosomal RNA". It matches the Rfam family "Bacterial small subunit ribosomal RNA", at positions 524 to 776 of the family's 1533-position model. The record is from RNAcentral.